UAGUCCUCGUGUUGCAUCCC
RNAcentral lists this small nuclear RNA (20 nucleotides) under Arabidopsis thaliana (thale cress). RNAcentral describes it as "snRNA_08751". The record is from RNAcentral. Lineage: Eukaryota; Viridiplantae; Streptophyta; Magnoliopsida; Brassicales; Brassicaceae.